UGGGGAAUAUUGCACAAUGGGGGAAACCCUGAUGCAGCGACGCCGCGUGAGUGAAGAAGUAUUUCGGUAUGUAAAGCUCUAUCAGCAGGGAAGAAAAUGACGGUACCUGACUAAGAAGCCCCGGCUAACUACGUGCCAGCAGCCGCGGUAAUACGUAGGGGGCAAGCGUUAUCCGGAUUUACUGGGUGUAAAGGGAGCGUAGACGGCUGGAUCAGUCUGAUGUGAAAGCCCGGGGCUCAACCCCGGGACUGCAUUGGAAACUGUCCAGCUAGAGUGCAGGAGAGGUAAGUGGAAUUCCUAGUGUAGCGGUGAAAUGCGUAGAUAUUAGGAGGAACACCAGUGGCGAAGGCGGCUUACUGGACUGUAACUGACGUUGAGGCUCGAAAGCGUGGGGAGCAAACAGGAUUAGAUACCCUGGUAGU
RNAcentral lists this ribosomal RNA (422 nucleotides) under uncultured Lachnospiraceae bacterium. RNAcentral's name for it is "bacterial SSU rRNA". It matches the Rfam family "Bacterial small subunit ribosomal RNA", at positions 355 to 794 of the family's 1533-position model. Lineage: Bacteria; Bacillati; Bacillota; Clostridia; Lachnospirales; Lachnospiraceae. The record is from RNAcentral.